Molecule: ribosomal RNA, 580 nt
Filed under: uncultured bacterium
Lineage: Bacteria
Description: bacterial SSU rRNA
Rfam family: Bacterial small subunit ribosomal RNA
Source: RNAcentral
CCUACGGGAGGCAGCAGUAAGGAAUAUUGGUCAAUGGAGGCAACUCUGAACCAGCCAUGCCGCGUGCAGGAAGAAGGCCCUAUGGGUCGUAAACUGCUUUUGUACCAGAGAAAACCACAGUACGUGUACUGUGUUGAUAGUAUGGUAAGAAUAAGCAUCGGCUAACUUCGUGCCAGCAGCCGCGGUAAGACGAAGGAUGCAAGCGUUAUCCGGAUUCAUUGGGUUUAAAGGGUGCGUAGGCGGACUGAUAAGUCAGUGGUGAAAUCUCUCAGCUUAACUGAGAAACUGCCAUUGAUACUGUUAGUCUAGAGUAUAGAUGACGUUGGCGGAAUAUGACAUGUAGUGGUGAAAUACUUAGAUAUGUCAUAGAACACCGAUUGCGAAGGCAGCUAACGAAACUAUAACUGACGCUGAGGCACGAAAGUGCGGGGAUCAAACAGGAUUAGAUACCCUGGUAGUCCGCACCGUAAACGAUGAUUACUCGUUGUUGGCAAUAUGACCGUCAGCGACCAAGCGAAAGCGANAAGUAAUCCACCUGGGGAGUACGCCGGCGAACGGUGAAACUUAAAGGAAUUGACGG